GGCCUCCCAUGAUGGCAGCACUGGGCGCUGAACCCCAUUGAUGACGCCUGUGCCCCUCCCCCAGGGCCAUUGACCCCGGGGGGGGGUCUGAGGGGGCC
Small nucleolar RNA from Neopsephotus bourkii (Bourke's parrot), 98 nucleotides. Lineage: Eukaryota; Metazoa; Chordata; Aves; Psittaciformes; Psittacidae. The record is from RefSeq and is a predicted model, not a curated record.